CUACCUGUAGCAGAGAACCCCGUCAGCCGUCCCUUUCAACUUGCAAAUUCACUCCCAAAAAUCCAAACCUUCAAAUUUCAAGCUAUAUUAGAUGGAAGUAGAAGAUAUAAGUUUAAAUUUUAUAAUUUUCUUUGUAAAUUUCAGUUUUUUGUCAAAUUAUGCGCAAAAUAUAUAUCUCCAGAUUGGUGAUUUUUGAAAGAAUUUUACCUGAAUUUCAAUGUCAUACCACUCUGAAUUUUGUAUACUUAAUUGAUUCAAUGCCCUACCUGUCUGAAUUUCAUACUUUAUUGUAUACUUUAUCAUGCCCUACCUAUAUGUUGUAUACUUUACCUUUACCUGAAUUUCAUGCGAAAAAUAUAUCUCAAUGAAGUAUGAAUGAAUUAAGUUUAGGUGAAUAUUUAAUUAUUUAUGUACCUCGAACUUUUUCCGAAUUGCUGCAAAAUUGUGAGGGAUGGUUGGACAACAUGGAAGACGACUGGUUGAUUUUCUCAUCUUUUCAAAAAUCGUUUAUGAGAUUAGUGGUCAAUCUCUUACGAAUGAAUUAAAUUCAGAUUGCUGGUCAAUUUUGUAAGUUAAGAUUAAGUUUAGCUGGGUGAUUUUCUCUUCUAUUAAAAAAUGCUAAGAAGAAGCUAUUACAGAUCAUGAUCAUCCACCAUACAACUAAUGAUGGUUUACACUUUCAUUAAGUUGGGAAAUGCUUCCAUUUCCAUUAGAAUUAGGUGGAAUUCCCACUGCUCUAGUUUUUCCAAUGCUGGUGUAGUCACAGCCUACUGCUAAUUUAACUAGGUCAUACAAGGUUGUGGAAGUAAAAAAGUUCAAUUGAAAUUAUGGCAAAAACAAGAAGAAAAUUAGAGAAUCGGUUGACAACACUAGUUAGACCAAUUAGUAGAUUGGUCAUUAUAUUAUUAUGUGCUACCCCAGUAACCCUUUGUAAUUUUUCUUAAGAUUCUCAAUUACUGGGCUACAUGUAGCAGUUCUUGUUGAUGAAGGUAAUCCAUGACCUGCUAUAAUUGGCUAAAUAUAUUAUUUUCUUAGUCUUUGAAUGCUUCAUUUUUAUGCUUCUUUUAAUAAAUUUCAGUUUCUUCAUCUACAUCUAAUUUUAUGAACAAAAAUGUCCCAUGGUGUUAUCACAUUUCACAAUUAAUGCGGACUAUGUUUGAAUAACCAAUUAAUGCAAAUGAUUUGCUUUUGGUGGAUUUUUCACUAGUUUCAUUACAUCUUUUGUUU
RNAcentral lists this long non-coding RNA (1227 nucleotides) under Olea europaea (common olive). RNAcentral's name for it is "long non-coding RNA (OEUR_LNC009454)". The record is from RNAcentral. Lineage: Eukaryota; Viridiplantae; Streptophyta; Magnoliopsida; Lamiales; Oleaceae.